Molecule: ribosomal RNA, 468 nt
Filed under: uncultured bacterium
Lineage: Bacteria
Description: partial 16S ribosomal RNA
Rfam family: Bacterial small subunit ribosomal RNA
Source: RNAcentral
GACGAACGCUGGCGGCGUGCUUAACACAUGCAAGUCGAACGGAAAGGCCCUGCUUUUGUGGGGUGCUCGAGUGGCGAACGGGUGAGUAACACGUGAGUAACCUGCCCUUGACUUUGGGAUAACUUCAGGAAACUGGGGCUAAUACCGGAUAGGAGCUCCUGCUGCAUGGUGGGGGUUGGAAAGUUUCGGCGGUUGGGGAUGGACUCGCGGCUUAUCAGCUUGUUGGUGGGGUAGUGGCUUACCAAGGCUUUGACGGGUAGCCGGCCUGAGAGGGUGACCGGCCACAGUGGGACUGAGAUACGGCCCAGACUCCUACGGGAGGCAGCAGUGGGGAAUAUUGCACAAUGGGCGGAAGCCUGAGGCAGCAGCGCCGCGGGCGGGAUGACGGCCUUCGGGUUGUAAACCGCUUUCGCCUGUGACGAAGCGUGAGUGACGGUAAUGGGUAAAGAAGCACCGGCUAACUACGUG